Molecule: ribosomal RNA, 891 nt
Filed under: uncultured Chloroflexota bacterium
Lineage: Bacteria; Bacillati; Chloroflexota
Description: bacterial SSU rRNA
Rfam family: Bacterial small subunit ribosomal RNA
Source: RNAcentral
AGAGUUUGAUCCUGGCUCAGGAUGAACGCUGGCGGCGUGCCUAAUGCAUGCAAGUCGGACGGUACUCUGAUUUCGGUUAGAGUGCAGUGGCGAACGGCUGAGUAACGCAAAGGUAACCUACCCCUCAGUGGGGAAUAUCUCCGAGAAAUCGGAGCCAAUACCGCAUGUCGUCCUCACACGCGAGUGUGAUGAUGAAAGCUCUCGGGCGCUGGGGGAUGGGCUUUUGUCCCAUCAGGCAGUUGGCAGGGUAACGGCCUACCAAACCGAAGACGGGUAGCUGGUCUGAGAGGAUGGUCAGCCAGAUGGGGACUGAGAUACGGCCCCAACUCCUACGGGAGGCAGCAGCAAGGGAUAUUGCGCAAUGGACGAAAGUCUGACGCAGCGACGCCGCGUGAGGGAUGAAGGCCUUCGGGUCGUAAACCUCUUUUAUUGGUGAAGAGCAAGGACGGUAACCAAUGAAUAAGCCUCGGCUAACUACGUGCCAGCAGCCGCGGUAAUACGUAGGAGGCGAGCGUUAUCCGGAUUUACUGGGCAUAAAGCGCGUGUAGGCGGCUUUUUAAGUUGGCAGUGAAAGGUUCCGGCUCAACUGGGAUUCGCCUGUCAAUACUGAAGAGCUUGAGGGCACCAGAGGAAAGUGGAACUCGCGGUGUAGCGGUGAAAUGUGUAGAUAUCGCGAGGAACACCAGUGGCGAAGGCGGCUUUCUGGGGUGUUCCUGACGCUGAGGCGCGAAAGCGUGGGGAGCGAAGCGGAUUAGAUACCCGCGUAGUCCACGCCCUAAACGGUGGAUCUUGGUAUGGGGGGGUAUCGACCCCCUCCGUGCCGAAGCUAACGCUUUAAGUAUCCCGCCUGGGAACUACGGUCGCAAGACUAAAACUCAAAGGAAUUGACGG